AUUGAACGCUGGCGGCAUGCCUUACACAUGCAAGUCGAACGGCAGCGGGGGAGAAGCUUGCUUUUCCUGCCGGCGAGUGGCGAACGGGUGAGUAAUACAUCGGAACGUGCCCUGUAGUGGGGGAUAACUAGUCGAAAGAUUAGCUAAUAUCGCAUACGAUCUAUGGAUGAAAGCGGGGGAUCGCAAGACCUCGCGCGAUUGGAGCGGCCGAUAUCAGAUUAGGUAGUUGGUGGGGUAAAGGCCCACCAAGCCAACGAUCUGUAGCUGGUCUGAGAGGACGACUAGCCACACUGGAACUGAGACACGGUCCAGACUACUACGGGAGGCAGCAGUGGGGAAUUUUGGACAAUGGGCGAAAGCCUGAUCCAGCCAUUCCGCGUGCAGGAUGAAGGCCCUCGGGUUGUAAACUGCUUUUGUACAGAACGAAAAGGUUUCUACUAAUACUAGGAGCUCAUGACGGUACUGUAAGAAUAAGCACCGGCUAACUACGUGCCAGCCGCCGCGGUAA
This 508-nucleotide ribosomal RNA is filed under the name uncultured bacterium. RNAcentral's name for it is "partial 16S ribosomal RNA". It matches the Rfam family "Bacterial small subunit ribosomal RNA", at positions 30 to 523 of the family's 1533-position model. The record is from RNAcentral.